AGAAUCAACGCUGGCGGCGUGCCUAACACAUGCAAGUCGAUCGAGAAAGUGGAGCAAUCCAUGAGUAAAGAGGCGCACGGGUGAGUAACACGUGACUAACCUACCCUCGAGUGGGGAAUAACCUGGGGAAACCCGGGCUAAUACCGCAUAACACCUACGGGUCAAAGGAGCAAUUCGCUUGAGGAGGGGGUCGCGGCAGAUUAGUUAGUUGGCGGGGUAAUGGCCCACCAAGACGAUGAUCUGUA
This 245-nucleotide ribosomal RNA is filed under the name uncultured bacterium. RNAcentral's name for it is "partial small subunit ribosomal RNA". It matches the Rfam family "Bacterial small subunit ribosomal RNA", at positions 26 to 285 of the family's 1533-position model. The record is from RNAcentral.